Molecule: small nucleolar RNA, 124 nt
Organism: Ochotona princeps (American pika)
Lineage: Eukaryota; Metazoa; Chordata; Mammalia; Lagomorpha; Ochotonidae
Source: Ensembl
ACAGCAAGCAGAUUGCUGAAGCUGUUGGUUUCAAACAGGAGCUUAAAGAAAUGCCUUUCUAUGGUCUAUUGACCAUUUCAGAACUUUGGACAUGUUAUGGUCCAUUCACUGGAAAGAAACACAG